GACUCUGCGGUGAACAUGGUAGUACCUGUCGAAAUGCCAGCCAAGUUCCUCGUGACUCGGUUGCCAAAGGAAAGAGGCGCAAAGGAACUGUCAUUGGCAUGGGUAUUGGCAUUGGUCUUGGAACGAUUUUUCUUCUUGCCCUCAUGUACUUGAUUGUUGUACGGGCAAGCAGUCGAAAAGUAGUUGAUCAGGAAAAGGAGCUGGAU
Molecule: unclassified non-coding RNA, 206 nt
Filed under: Hevea brasiliensis (rubber tree)
Lineage: Eukaryota; Viridiplantae; Streptophyta; Magnoliopsida; Malpighiales; Euphorbiaceae
Source: RNAcentral